GCAGAACGCGAAGAACCUUACCAGGGCUUGACAUCCUGCUAAUCUUUCCGAAAGGAGAGAGUGCCUUCGGGCCGCAGUGACAGGUGAUGCAUGGCCGUCGUCAGCUCGUGUCGUGAGAUGUUUGGUUAAGUCCAUCAACGAGCGCAACCCUUGUGGCUAGUUGAAUUUUUCUAGUCAGACUGCCCUGGCAACAGGGAGGAAGGAGGGGAUGAUGUCAGGUCAGUAUUUCCCUUACGUCCUGGGCUACAAACACGCUACAAUGGCCGGUACAAAGGGCAGCCAAGUCGCGAGACGGAGCAAAUCCCAUCAAAGCCGGUCUCAGUUCGGAUUGCAGGCUGAAACUCGCCUGCAUGAAGUUGGAAUCGCUAGUAACGGUAGGUCAGCACACUACCGUGAAUACGUUCCCGGGUCUUGUACACACCG
This 423-nucleotide ribosomal RNA is filed under the name uncultured bacterium. RNAcentral describes it as "bacterial SSU rRNA". It matches the Rfam family "Bacterial small subunit ribosomal RNA", at positions 954 to 1392 of the family's 1533-position model. The record is from RNAcentral.